This 468-nucleotide ribosomal RNA is filed under the name uncultured bacterium. Its description in RNAcentral is "partial 16S ribosomal RNA". It matches the Rfam family "Bacterial small subunit ribosomal RNA", at positions 28 to 507 of the family's 1533-position model. The record is from RNAcentral.
GACGAACGCUGGCGGCGUGCUUAACACAUGCAAGUCGAACGGAAAGGCCCUGCUUUUGUGGGGUGCUCGAGUGGCGAACGGGUGAGUAACACGUGAGUAACCUGCCCUUGACUUUGGGAUAACUUCAGGAAACUGGGGCUAAUACCGGAUAGGAGCUCCUGCUGCAUGGUGGGGGUUGGAAAGUUUCGGCGGUUGGGGAUGGACUCGCGGCUGAUCAGCUUGUUGGUGGGGUAGUGGCUUACCAAGGCUUUGACGGGUAGCCGGCCUGAGAGGGUGACCGGCCACAUUGGGACUGAGAUACGGACCAGACUCCUACGGGAGGCAGCAGUGGGGAAUAUUGCACAGUGGGCGGAAGCCUGAUGCAGCAACGCCGCGUGCGGGAUGACGGCCUUCGGGUUGUAAACCGCUUUCGCCUGUGACGAAGCGUGAGUGACGGUAAUGGGUAAAGAAGCACCGGCUAACUACGUG